This 460-nucleotide ribosomal RNA is filed under the name uncultured bacterium. RNAcentral describes it as "partial 16S ribosomal RNA". It matches the Rfam family "Bacterial small subunit ribosomal RNA", at positions 338 to 795 of the family's 1533-position model. The record is from RNAcentral.
CCUACGGGAGGCAGCAGUGAGGAAUAUUGGUCAAUGGACGAAAGUCUGAACCAGCCAAGUCGCGUGAAGGAUGACUGCCCUAUGGGUUGUAAACUUCUUUUGUAUGGGAGUAAAAUGUUCCACGUGUGGGACUUUGUAUGUACCAUAUGAAUAAGGAUCGGCUAACUCCGUGCCAGCAGCCGCGGUAAUACGGAGGAUCCGAGCGUUAUCCGGAUUUAUUGGGUUUAAAGGGCGCGUAGGUGGAUUGGUAAGUCAGUUGUGAAAGUUUGCGGCUCAACCGUAGAAGUGCAGUUGAAACUGGCAGUCUUGAGUGCAGUAGAGGUGGGCGGAAUGCGUGGUGUAGCGGUGAAAUGCUUAGAUAUCACGAAGAACUCCGAUGGCGAAGGCAGUUCACUGGACUGCAACUGACACUGAGGCUCGAAAGCGUGGGUAUCAAACAGGAUUAGAUACCCGGGUAGUC